RNAcentral lists this ribosomal RNA (446 nucleotides) under uncultured prokaryote. RNAcentral's name for it is "bacterial SSU rRNA". It matches the Rfam family "Bacterial small subunit ribosomal RNA", at positions 355 to 796 of the family's 1533-position model. The record is from RNAcentral.
UCGAGAAUCUUCGGCAAUGGACGAAAGUCUGACCGAGCGACGCCGCGUGCGGGAUGAAGGCCCUCGGGUUGUAAACCGCUGUCAGUUAGGAGGAAAUCUAUGGGGGUUCUCUCUCAUAGUUGACCGAUUUUCAGAGGAAGGACGGGCUAAGUUCGUGCCAGCAGCCGCGGUAACACGAACCGUCCAAACGUUAUUCGGUAUCACUGGGCUUAAAGCGUGCGUAGGCGGCUUGGUAGGUGAGAUGUGAAAGCCCACGGCCCAACCGUGGAAUUGCGUUUCAAACCCCCAAGCUUGAGGAAGACAGGGGUGUUGGGAACUUAUGGUGGAGCGGUGAAAUGCGUUGAUAUCAUAGGGAACACCGGUGGCGAAGGCGCAACACUGGGUCUUUUCUGACGCUGAGGCACGAAAGCUAGGGUAGCGAACGGGAUUAGAUACCCCCGUAGUCC